Long non-coding RNA from Cottoperca gobio, 876 nucleotides. The record is from Ensembl. Lineage: Eukaryota; Metazoa; Chordata; Actinopteri; Perciformes; Bovichtidae.
CCCUUGGUAUGGGAAUGUAAAUAGUGAGAUAGUUAGCUCAGAUGAGCUGUAAGCUAGCUGAAUGUAGCCCACAGGAAAUCCCCCAAAACACAGCUGACAUGACAUUAUUAUGACAGCUGGUACAGACCCUGGGUCAGGCAAGGAGGUAUUUUUAAUGCAACCAAACUAAAGCCGGCUAACAAGCUAACUUUAGCCAACUGCUACCUAGCUUAACCAAAGACCCACUUUGGUUUUACAAACGGACCAUCACAACAAAGAAAAAGGGAAUGGAAAGGUCUUCCUGGUGUGGCUCCAGAGCAGCAGCCGCCGCACUGCAAUGGCAGGCAGUGGAUGAAGCCUUCCUUCUCCCCCCCCCUCUGCUCUCACACUUCGGCUGCCGUCACCGCCGCGGUGACAGUGACAGGUUCGCCUGGAAGAAACCACUCCGAUUUUUCCGAGGGGGGAGGGGUAGGGAUGCAGAGAGAGGCUGUCCGCAGCAGCAGCAGCAGCUCAGCAGCAGCUACCCAGCAGCAUCAAGCGCCAUUCCAGCCUGAGAGAUCAGACGUACCAGGUGACACGAAAUGACCUCACAUCCCUGGCCCUGCGGAUCAUGUGACAACAGCCACCAACAACCAAAUCCUCCCUGGAUCAAACUACAGCAUCAUGUCCAGUUGCAAAGAAGCAAUCACCUAAGUAUGUUUAUCCCAGGAGAGGAGCACUAAUGCUAAUAAAGACGAACAAUUCCAAUCAGUUAAUGUGGAUACGUGUGUGACGGAGAGGUCUUUAAAGGCAAAAUAGUGAGUUUGGAAUUGUUUUGUUUUUGAAGACUAGAUCAUAUUGCAGUGUUAACCAUAAAGUUGGAUUCCUUGAGGGGAAUAAAAGCUUUUUAAAGCCGCA